CUGGUUUGGAAGUAGGAGGAAAGG
Molecule: non-coding RNA, 24 nt
Filed under: Cricetulus griseus (Chinese hamster)
Lineage: Eukaryota; Metazoa; Chordata; Mammalia; Rodentia; Cricetidae
Source: RNAcentral